AUACGAAAGGUGCAAGCGUUGUUCGGAUUUACUGGGCGUAAAGAGAGUGUAGGUUGUUUAUUAAGUCGGAUGUGAAAUCCCGGGGCUCAACCUCGGAACCGCAUUCGAUACUGAUAGGCUAGAGUUUGGGAGGGGUAAGCGGAAUUCCGUGUGUAGCAGUGAAAUGCGUAGAUAUACGGAGGAACACCUGAGGCGAAGGCGGCUUACUGGACCAAUACUGACACUGAGACUCGAAAGCGUGGGUAGCAAACAGGAUUAGAUACCCUAGUAGUCC
This 274-nucleotide ribosomal RNA is filed under the name uncultured bacterium. RNAcentral describes it as "partial 16S ribosomal RNA". It matches the Rfam family "Bacterial small subunit ribosomal RNA", at positions 523 to 796 of the family's 1533-position model. The record is from RNAcentral.